GACGAACGCUGGCGGCGUGCUUAACACAUGCAAGUCGAACGAAGAGCGAUGGAAGCUUGCUUCUAUCAAUCUUAGUGGCGCACGGGUGAGUAACGCGUAGUCAACCUGCCCUUCAGAGGGGGACAACAGUUGGAAACGACUGCUAAUACCGCAUACGAUCUAAUCUCGGCAUCGAGGAAAGAUGAAAGGUGGCCUCUAUUUAUAAGCUAUCACUGAAGGAGGGGAUUGCGUCUGAUUAGCUAGUUGGAGGGGUAACGGCCCACCAAGGCGAUGAUCAGUAGCCGGUCUGAGAGGAUGAACGGCCACAUUGGGACUGAGACACGGCCCAGACUCCUACGGGAGGCAGCAGUGGGGAAUCUUCCGCAAUGGACGAAAGUCUGACGGAGCAACGCCGCGUGAGUGAUGACGGCCUUCGGGUUGUAAAGCUCUGUUAAUCGGGACGAAAGGCCUUCUUGCGAACAGUUAGAAGGAUUGACGGUACCGGAAUAGAAAGCCACGGCUAACUACGUG
Molecule: ribosomal RNA, 510 nt
Filed under: uncultured bacterium
Lineage: Bacteria
Description: partial 16S ribosomal RNA
Rfam family: Bacterial small subunit ribosomal RNA
Source: RNAcentral